This 254-nucleotide ribosomal RNA is filed under the name uncultured bacterium. Its description in RNAcentral is "partial 16S ribosomal RNA". It matches the Rfam family "Bacterial small subunit ribosomal RNA", at positions 524 to 776 of the family's 1533-position model. The record is from RNAcentral.
GACGAACCGUGCGAACGUUGUUCGGAAUCACUGGGCUUAAAGAGCUCGUAGGCGGUUCACUAAGUCGGGUGUGAAACCUCCAGGCUCAACCUGGAGACGCCACCUGAUACUGGUGUGACUAGAGUCCGGUAGGGGAGUGUGGAACUCCUGGUGUAGCGGUGAAAUGCGCAGAUAUCAGGAAGAACACCAGCGGCGAAGGCGGCACUCUGGGCCGGUACUGACGCUGAGGAGCGAAAGCGUGGGUAGCAAACAGG